AACGAACGCUGGCGGCAGGCCUAAUACAUGCAAGUCGAACGCUCCAGCAAUGGAGAGUGGCAGACGGGUGAGUAACGCGUGGGAACCUUCCCAGUGGUACGGAAUAGCUCAGGGAAACUUGAGGUAAUACCGUAUACGCCCCUCGGGGGAAAGAUUUAUCGCCAUUGGAUGGGCCCGCGUCGGAUUAGCUAGUUGGUGGGGUAACGGCCUACCAAGGCGACGAUCCGUAGCUGGUCUGAGAGGAUGAUCAGCCACACUGGGACUGAGACACGGCCCAGACUCCUACGGGAGGCUGCCUGAGACGCCAAGGCACACAGGGGAUAGG
RNAcentral lists this ribosomal RNA (325 nucleotides) under uncultured Pseudomonadota bacterium. RNAcentral describes it as "bacterial SSU rRNA". It matches the Rfam family "Bacterial small subunit ribosomal RNA", at positions 29 to 381 of the family's 1533-position model. The record is from RNAcentral. Lineage: Bacteria; Pseudomonadati; Pseudomonadota.